Molecule: long non-coding RNA, 1294 nt
Organism: Armigeres subalbatus
Lineage: Eukaryota; Metazoa; Arthropoda; Insecta; Diptera; Culicidae
Exons: 4
Source: RefSeq, a predicted model, not a curated record
UCGCCAUCGCCAUGUUUUGAAAGUUCACGGUUUUAUUUUCUCGCAGCUUUUUUGUCGCGGCUAGUUUUUCUCGUUUUAUUGUGAUUAUUUCGCAAGUUAUUCGGCAAAAAGAAUGUGUGUAAUAAAGUGAAAUUUUAUCAUCAAACUGGAUACGGGAGUGACGAUCUUUUUUUUGGAUUUUUCGACGAAAAUAUCGGUUAGGAUUUCGCGGAUUUCAACGCCGAUGAUAAAGGAGAAAAAGGACGGAUUUUAGGUAACGGGACUACAUGCGUAUCCUGGUCAUGGAGAGCUGCGAUGGCUCAGGUGAAACCGGUAAUUUUUUUAUGCCGCUGUUCAAGAAACAAACGACGAGAGAUCAAGUUCAGUGCUAGAGUGCUAUUUAGACGUACACAAAAUCAUCAAGCAGCUAUGGAAGUUUACGGCUUUAAACACGAUUCUAGCACUUCGAUGCGCCUCGAUGGAUUCGCAGUUUGCGACCAUUCACAUGCUGUCGGAUGUGAUCGUUUCCAUGCCAGGUCGAAACUGUCAGCGGUGCAGCACUGUGUUCGACGAAGGGACCAUAGUUUUGAGAUGGAUUUCAGCGAGCAGCUAAAGGGGACCUUGUGCAGGUUUCCCGAGACAAAACAGAUGGUGCAACACUGCCGAAGCUGUUGGGCUGGCUUGAAUGAUCCAAUGCUGAUCCGAUUGCACGUAGAGUUGAGAAUUCUGGAAGCCCUGUGAUUCCGAUGCACACUGUGUUCGACGGGACGGGAAGCAGCAUCACGUUGAUUUGAUUUCUCUGGUUAAGAAUGGAAUGGCCUCUACGGCCUCUACAUUGUCUUCUUGUCGCUCGGUUCAUAACUGCACGUUACCAACAACACAGUCUACGAAGGAGCCGUAAAUCAUCUUCUCGAUCGUUCCUCUCAUCUCAGCUUCUCAUGCCCAAUUUUUAAUGUGGAAGGAAAAGUCCGUAAUUAUCUACUCUGAUUCGGUCAACACAUUCGUGCACGGCAACUUUGAAGACUAUCAAAAAGUCUGACUUGCUUCACCGGGCAAUGCCCGGAAUGCUAUCAACCAAUCAUUUUGCAACCACUGCGAAAAAGGAUCGUUAAUGUCUUGGAAUUCCAAGAGGAUGUAAAAAAGACCGGACGUAACCGGCUUUGAAGCUCCCCCGCACACAACGGGAAUCCAGCAAGACAUAAGCUACCCGGGGUCUGCGGAUCGAUACUGGUUCCUGGAUUCCCGAUGAUUCUUCAACAUGUGUAUACUGCCGGUUUUGUGAUAGAUCUGCUGAUCUAUAGUGAAAAAAUAUAUA